This 376-nucleotide ribosomal RNA is filed under the name uncultured bacterium. RNAcentral's name for it is "bacterial SSU rRNA". It matches the Rfam family "Bacterial small subunit ribosomal RNA", at positions 29 to 407 of the family's 1533-position model. The record is from RNAcentral.
AUUGAACGCUGGCGGCAUGCCUAACACAUGCAAGUCGAACGGUAACGCGGGGGCAACCCUGGCGACGAGUGGCGGACGGGUGAGUAAUACAUCGGAACGUGCCCAGUAGUGGGGGAUAGCCCGGCGAAAGCCGGAUUAAUACCGCAUACGACCUACGGGUGAAAGCGGGGGAUCGCAAGACCUCGCGCUAUUGGAGCGGCCGAUGUCAGAUUAGCUAGUUGGUGGGGUAAAAGCCUACCAAGGCGACGAUCUGUAGCUGGUCUGAGAGGACGACCAGCCACACUGGGACUGAGACACGGCCCAGACUCCUACGGGAGGCAGCAGUGGGAAUUUUGGACAAUGGGGGCAACCCUGAUCCAGCCAUGCCGCGUGCGGG